Molecule: ribosomal RNA, 459 nt
Filed under: uncultured bacterium
Lineage: Bacteria
Description: partial 16S ribosomal RNA
Rfam family: Bacterial small subunit ribosomal RNA
Source: RNAcentral
CCUACGGGAGGCAGCAGUGAGGAAUAUUGGUCAAUGGCCGAGAGGCUGAACCAGCCAAGUCGCGUGAGGGAAGACGGCCCUACGGGUUGUAAACCUCUUUUGCCGGGGAGCAAAGCGAGUCACGUGUGACUCAUUGAGAGUACCCCUAGAAAAAGCAUCGGCUAACUCCGUGCCAGCAGCCGCGGUAAUACGGGGGAUGCGAGCGUUAUCCGAAUUUAUUGGGUUUAAAGGGUGCGCAGGCGGAGGUGCAAGUCAGCGGUCAAAUUGCGGGGCACAACCCCGUACUGCCGUUGAAACUGCAUGCCUUGAGUGCGCGAGAAGUAUGCGGAAUGCGUGGUGUAGCGGUGAAAUGCAUAGAAAUAACGCAGAAAUCCGAUUGCGAGGGCAGCAUACCGGCGCGCAACUGACGCUCAUGCACGAAAGCGUGGGUAUCGAACAGGAUUAGAUACCCCAGUAGUC